UACGUAGGGUGCAAGCGUUGUCCGGAAUUAUUGGGCGUAAAGAGCGUGUAGGCGGCCCGAUUAGUCUGCUGUGAAAGUCCAGGGCUCAACCCUGGAAUGCCGGUGGAUACUGUCGGGCUAGAGUCCGGAAGGGGCGAGUGGAAUUCCUGGUGUAGCGGUGAAAUGCGCAGAUAUCAGGAGGAACACCGGUGGCGAAGGCGGGUCUCUGGGCCGAUACUGACGCUGAGGAGCGAAAGCGUGGGGAGCGAACAGG
Molecule: ribosomal RNA, 253 nt
Filed under: uncultured bacterium
Lineage: Bacteria
Description: partial 16S ribosomal RNA
Rfam family: Bacterial small subunit ribosomal RNA
Source: RNAcentral